RNAcentral lists this ribosomal RNA (1355 nucleotides) under Pseudocoladenia festa. Its description in RNAcentral is "16S ribosomal RNA". Lineage: Eukaryota; Metazoa; Arthropoda; Insecta; Lepidoptera; Hesperiidae. The record is from RNAcentral.
GGGGGAUAAAUUAAUAAUAAAAAUAAUAAUAAAAAUAAUUUUAAAUUUAAUAUAUAUAUGUAUUUUAAUGGGGGUUAAAGUAUAAAUUAUAGAAAAAAAUUUAAAGUUUUAUAGUGAAUAGUAUUGUAAAAUAAAUAUGAAAUAAAAUAAAAAUAGAAAUUAUUUAAAAGUAAAUUUAAUUUAUUGUAUCUUGUGUAUCAGAGUUUAUUAAUAAAAUUUAUUAAAUAAUAAAAUCUCGAAUUUAAAGGAGAUAAUUAAUUAGAAAAGUUAUUGUGGCAUAAAUAUUUUAAAUAAUUAAUUAGAAAUGAAACGUUAAUCGUCUUUUAAUAUAUCUAGUUUUUUUAGAAAUAAAUUGAAUUUAGAAUUAUUUUUUUUUAAAAGUUAAUAUUAACUUUUAAAAAAAAAUAAUUUAAUAAAUUAAGGGAUAAGCUUUAAUUUAAAUUUUUAUAAUUAAGUUUAUUAAAAUAUUAAAAUUUUUAAAAUUUAUAUUGUUUAUAAAUUAUAAUUUUUUAUAAAAAAUUUUAUAAAAUCAUAAAAUUUAAAAUAAUAAUUUAAAUUUUUAUAAAAAAAUAUUUUAUAAUUUUUUAAAAAUAAAUAUAAUGAUAAAAUUAGUAUAAUUAUAUAAUAUAAAAUAUUAAUAAGGGUUGAUAUUUAAAAAAAAGGAAUUCGGCAAAAAUUUAUAUUCACUUGUUUAUCAAAAACAUGUCUUUUUGGUUAUAAUUUAAAGUCUAAUCUGCCCACUGAUUAAAUUAUUAAAGGGCUGCAGUAUAUUGACUGUACAAAGGUAGCAUAAUCAUUAGUCUUUUAAUUGGAGACUUGUAUGAAUGAUUUGAUGAAAUAUAAACUGUCUCUUUUUUAUAAUUAAAAUUUAAUUUUUUAGUAAAAAAGCUUAAAUAAUUUUAAAAGACGAGAAGACCCUAUAGAGUUUUAUAUUUAAAUAUUUAUUUUUUAUUUUUUAUUAAAUUAUUAAUAAAAAUUUAUUUAAAUAUUUUAUUGGGGUGAUAAAGAAAUUUAAUUAACUUUUUUUUUUUUUUACAUUUAUUUAUGAUAUUUUGAUCCAUAAUUUAUGAUUAAAAGAAAAAAUUACCUUAGGGAUAACAGCGUAAUUUUUUUUUUUAGGGCAAAUAAAAAAAAAAGUUUGCGACCUCGAUGUUGGAUUAAGAUAAAAUUUAAAUGCAGAAGUUUAAAAUUUUUGAUCUGUUCGAUCAUUAAAAUCUUACAUGAUCUGAGUUCAAACCGGUGUAAGCCAGGUUGGUUUCUAUCUUUAAAUAAUUAAAAUAUUUUAGUACGAAAGGAUUAAAUAUUUAAAAUAAAUUUUAUUGGAAUGAAUUUUAUUAAUUAAUUUUAUAUAAUUA